Molecule: long non-coding RNA, 6368 nt
Filed under: Sus scrofa (pig)
Lineage: Eukaryota; Metazoa; Chordata; Mammalia; Artiodactyla; Suidae
Description: lncRNA (ENSSSCG00030023624.1)
Source: RNAcentral
UUUUUUUGUUUCUUUUUUUUUUCUUUUCAGGGCCGCACCAGUGGCUUAUGGAGGUUCCCAGGUGUGGCCCUAAAAAAACAAAAAACAAAAACAGCUGGAGCAGCUUAUAAACAACAGAGAUACACGCCUCACUGUUCUGGAGGCUGGGAACCGCAACAUGAAGGUGCCAGCGGAUCUGGCGUCAGUGAGAACCACGUUCCUGGUUCACAGCUGGCCGUUUUCUCGGUGAGACCGCACAUGGCAGAAGCGGUGUGAUGAGGGCACUAAUGCCAUUGGCGAGGGCGCCACCCUUCGGACCUAAGCAGCUCCCAAAGGUCCCACCUCCUGAGACCAUCACACCGGGGGUUAGCAUUUCAACAUGUGGGUCUGGGGGUGGGGGCACAAGCCGUCUAUAGCAGAGGGUCUACUUCCUUCUGUCCUCACUGACUGCAGUAUGAUUUCAUCAUCACAUGUCCCCAAGACCCCAAGGGACUCCCACACCCUCUGGGUUCAGACUCACUGGUUCCAGACUGACUGGCCAGCACCCACUCCCCUUCCACCAGUUAGCCUUCUGUUAGAAAGAUGCCUCCAGCCCAGAAUUUCCAAAGGAGGCAGAAGAAGGAGGAAAUGAUUCUGCUUUCUCUGAUGAACCCGUAAAGGAUCAUUAAGCACUCAAAAGAAUAAAGUGACACAAAAAUGCCUAAUAAUUGCCAGAGAUUAUUUGUGAGGAAUGGCAGAGAGAAGAGAAAUGGGGGAAACGAAGGAUUUCAAGCCCGCAGUGUGGUUUUGCUCCCCGAGGACCAAAGAAAGACACUUAAAGUUCAGCUCCCUUUGAAGCGAAAGAUUCUGAAGACAGGGGCUGGGAACUGGGGGCGGUGGGGGAGGCUGCUUUCACUGAAGAAGAAAGUAGAUCAAUGUCAUUCCCUAAGGAAAGGGGGGAGGUGCAUGCUGAAUGAGCCCCAGCUCCCAGCCCCUGUUUGAAAAGAGACUUUUAAACAACCAAGUGAGAGUAAAUGUUAACCAGAAAUAUUACAGGACAGGGAUUAAUGUAAUUGUAUUCAAAGACAGCCUAUAAACAGAUAAGAAAAAAAAAUUAACCCCUAGUGGAAAAAUGAGCCAAGAACAGGCAGUUUAUUAAAAGGAAAAAAAAAAAAGGUUAAUAAACAGAAAAAUACAAACCCUCACUAACAUAGACAUGUACAUCAAAAUACCAAUUAGAGGAGUUCCCUUGUGGGGUAGCAGGUUAAGGAUUUAGCAGUUGUCACUGCUGUGACUCUAGUUACAGCUGUGGCACAGGUUCGAUCCCUUCCCCGGGAACUUCCACAUGCAGUGGGCACAACAAAAAAAAAAUAGAUGAAUAAAACUAAAUAACAAUUAGACACAUUUUUUUUCUCUUUUUGGCCAUGCGUGCGACAUGUGGAAGUUCCCGGGCCAAGGAUCAAACCCAUUCCAUAGCAGCUACCAGAGCUGCUGCAGUGGCAACGCUUGAUCCUUAACCCACUGCACCACAAAGGGACUUCCUGACACAAUUCUUUACCCACGAAAUACACAAAGUUGUUUCCUAUUAAGAAAUGUUCAUUAGAACAUGUCAAAAGUUGAGAUGACAUAUUUCCGGAUAAAUUAACAUUUUUCCAACCUUCUUUGAAAUAGUCAUCAAAAGUUGGUUAUCUUGGAGUUGCCAUCAUGGCUCAGUGGAAACGAAUCUGACUAGCAUCCAUGAGGAGGCAGGUUCGAUCCCUGGCCAGGUUCAGUGGGUUAAGGAUCUGGUGUUGCCAUGAGCCAUGGCGCAGGUCACAGACGCGGCUUGGAUCUGGUGUAGGCCAGCGGCUACAGCUCCGAUUCGACCCCCAGCCUGAGAACUUCCAUAUGCCACAGGUGCAGCCCUAAAGGGACAAAAAAACAAAAAAGUUCACAUCCUUGGGCUACAUAAUUCUGAAGCUAGAAAUUUAACCCAGGGAAAUAAUUAAAGAUACAAGAAAAGAUUUAUAUACAGGGAUAGUCAACACGGGAUUAAUUAUAAUGGAGAAGUAUCAGAAGCUUCCCAGACAUGGAACAAGGACAUGGUUAAGAAUAGGCAUAUACGGAGUUCCCAUCGUGGCUCAGUGGUUCACGAAUCCGACUAGGAACCAUGAGGUUGCAGGUUCGAUCCCUGGCCUUGCUCAGUGGGUUAGGGAUCCGGCGUUGCCGUGAGCUGUGGUGUAGGUCGCAGACGCAGCUUGGAUCCCACAUUGCUGUGGCUCUGGUGUAGGCCGGCAGCUGCAGCUCCAAUUAGACCCCUAGCCUGGGAACCUCCACAUGCCGCAGGAGCGGCCCUAGAAACAGAAAAAAGACCAAAAAAAAAAAGAAUAGGCAGAUAAUGUACAUAUAAUGUACACAUAACAGUAGGUUCAUAUAAUGAAAUGCCAGCCUGCCCAACAAGUCACAUUUCCAAAAACAUGUAAUGGGAUGAAGAACUGUUCACAAUAAAAUGCUAAAUGAAAAUACAAGACACAAAACUGAAUAUGUAAUAAUACCCGUAGGUCAAAAUACGUAAUUUUGGAAUAUAUAAAUAUGAACAUAGAAAAGAACAUGGAAGGAAAUAUAUCAGACUGUUAGCAGUGAGAGUGUAAUCAAGAAAAUAACAUUUUUUUAAGCUAAAAGGCCUUUGGCUAAGACUUGGGAUCCUAUAGGAACGAUUAGGCUGAAAUCAAAUUUCCUUUCAAAUGUUCAGAUACCAGGCUUGGAACUCUACUCUCUUUGAACACCACCAUAUAAAAAGAAAAAAACAUAAUUAGUUACUCAUUCCACAAACACAGAGCACUUUUAUGUUCAACAUUAUAACAGGUUUUCAGGAUAUAGAGAAAGCCUGGACCCCAAUCCCAAAGACCUUGUUUAUUACUGUCAGUUGCUGGGGGUGGGGUCUAUACACUAAGAAUUACGGUUAAAUUCAAGUAGACUACAAAAUCAGGUGACAUUGCUUCGAAGGGAGGGGAGAAGGCUAUGUGACUGAAUCUUGAAAUGUCCAGAGAAGUCAGCCAGAUAGACACCAAGAAGGCAGGAAAUUCCAGGAAGAGGGAACUGUAGGCGUGCAGAAGGUGAAAUAACAGCCCCCAAAGAUGUCCAUGUCGGAGGAACUUUGUAGAUGAGAUUAAGGUUAAGGACUUUGCGAUGGCGAGGCUGGCCUAGAUUAUCCAGGUGAGCCCAGUCUAAUCAUAUGGGUCCUUUAAAAUCAGAGAAUCUUUCCUGGCUCUGGCCAGAGGGACAGGUGACCACUCAAGAAUGAUCAAAGAGACGCAACGUUGCCAGCUCUGAAGGUGGACGAAGAAGGCCAGGGAACGCAACAGCCUCCAGAAGUUAGCAAAAAUGAAGAAAGGGAUUCUGCCCGAGAGCCAGAGGAAAGCAGCCUUGCCGGCACUGUGAUGUUAGCUCAGGGAGACAUGUUUCAAACUUCGAGCUCAGGGAGAAAUGGAACAUAAUAAUUUCAUGUUGUUUCAAGCCACCAAAUUUGUAGUAAUUCAGUACAGCAACAACAGAAAACUAAUACACCGGGCAAAAGCCGUGGAGAUGUAAGACAGAAAUGCACACGGGAGGAACUGCGAUGAGAUCCGUGUGGCCUGCGUCAUAUUUACCAACCACCUGCCAAACAUCAGUUCCUGUCUUCUGCUUUGUGCAAGAUCCAGCGUCCACUCUUUGGGGGCUCACAGACCAGUAGAAGACACAGCCCAGUGAUAGAAAAGUGACAAAGGGCUCAAAGAAGGGUAAGACCAGUGUGCCUGGGAGACUGGGUCAUGACUCCACUGAGAAGGGGACUGUCAGGUUGGUUGGAUCUGGAAGAGUGAGUGGCCACUGGUCUGGGAGAAGGGCCCUCCAGGCUGCAGAACAACAUGAGCUGAAACACUGGAAAGACCGUAGCAUCUUUGGGAAAAGCCAAGUUGUCCAGGAUUACCAGCGCCUGGGAAGAGCUAAAACACUGGGAACUCAAGCUGGACAGGAAUGACCACCUUGUGAAGGGCCUUGAAUGUUGAGUGAAACAAACUCUACCCUGUAGGGAACAGCACGGGGCAUCUGAUUCUUGGCAAAGAAUGAGCAUUUUCUCUUCUGCAUUCCUGAUGCACUGAUAUUUUCUAGAGGCAAGAGGACUUCCAGGUCUGAGGAGGCAGAACCCAUUCAGACCAUACUGAGCCAGGAGGCUGGGAGGCUGAGCCAGGAGGCUGGGAGGCCAAGCCAUGGAGGAAACCAGCUUGGGACUGGCUGGCCCAGUUGGCAUCAGCUCUGGCCACAUCUGCCUCCAGGUCUCCAGAAAGCACUUCCUCUCCUUGGAGCAUCCCCCAAAAAGCAGCGGAGAGGGAUUGAAGCCCACCAACCUGCGGCAGCCUCCUUCUGCCCUGGCCUCCAGGCCAGCCUCAGCUCCAUCAGGAGGAAGAAGUUUACCUCCAUGCCUCCCCCGACACACUCUAAACUCCUCUUUAUUGAGCCUUCCUCAUCUCUCCUGAGGUCCCCACUGUACACUCCAGCCUCUCCCUUGACAAGCAUGGGGGUGGGAGGGCGAGGAGACACAUUAAGGGAAUCGUCUGGAGGCAAGGAAGGCCUGAAGCACAUCAAUCAUGAACUUGGUCCUCUUGGUCUUUAGCUCCAGAUUUUCCCACAGACCUCGUUCAGGAGCACCUCCUCCAAGAAGCCCUCCCAGACCUGGCCAAGCAGACCCAACCCUCAUCUCCCUGUAUCUGUUCACCUAGGGUUCUCCGGAGACAGGCACAGACACUGUGCCUCACACACAGGAAUUCUAGAAAGCGUUCACAGAACACGUGAACGGAUGACAAAGGAGUAAGUGAACAGAACUCAGAUAUGAGAUGUAAAUAGUCUCGGAGAGGAGGCAGAAGCCCAUCAUUGAGACAAAAUAGACAAAAUAAAAAAGUAUCUCAAAUACAUAGAGAACAGACUUGUGGUUGCCGAGGAGGAAGUGGAGGAGGGAGUGGGAUGGACUGCGAGUUUGGGGUUGGUAGAUGCAAACUAUUCCAUUUCGAAUGGAUAAGCAAUGCGGUCCUACUGUGCAGCACAGGGAACUAUAUCCAAUCGCUUGUGACAGAACAUGAUAGAAAACGAAUGUGAUAAAUAUAUAUGUAUAUAUGACUGGGUCACUUUACUGUACAGCAGAAGUUGACAGACAUUUUUUUUAAGUUUCAUUGAAGUCUAGUUGAUUUAUAAGGUAGUGAGAAUUUCUGCUGCACAACUAAGUGAUUCAGUUAGACAUGGACACACAUCAUUCUCUUUCAGAUUCUUUCCCCACAUAGAUGAUCGCAGAGUACUGGGUAGAGCUCUCCGUGCUGUACAGCAGGUCUCCGAUGGCCAAUCGUUCCAUAUACCUCAGUGCGCAUGUGCCAAUCCCCAACCCCCGGCCCUUCCCCCGACCCCACCCCCGACCUGUCCCCUUUGGUAACCGUAAGUUUUUCAAGGUCUUUGAGUCUGUUUCUGUUCUGAUAUGGAAUCUAAAAAAAUAAAACAAUAAAAAUAAAAUUUUAAAGUAGCUCGAAUAGCAGCAAUGGACAUAGUUCUAGCAUUAAAUUCGGGCUACCGAAAGCUCCAAUUCCCAGGGGAAGAUUGGCCCGGAAGCCCAGGGCAGGCCCGAGCUUUGGGGUCAAGGAGGUGGGCCGGCGGGGGACGAUGGAGGUGGGCAGGGAGCAGGUGGGUGCUGCUCCUGAAGGCUUCUUCGGGCCAGAGGCCAGGCUCCGGCUUCCUGCAUGUCCAGAGCGCAGGCAGAAUCAGUAGUUUCGACCACCGCCUGGACACCCCCUGGAACGCCCCUGAGCACUUUGGUGAAAGGUGACUCCUUCCUCCUUCCUUUUGGGCCCAUGAGACUAAUCAUAAAAUAUGCUCUGCUUCUGAGUCCAUAGAAGAGAGUGCCUUCCACAUCCAUUAAGUUGCUAACGCGCGCCUUCGCAGGCCAGAAAGAAAGGUGCGGGAUUGAUGGAUGUACUUGUCAUAUUUAUGGUUUGUAGCCAUGUGAUUAAUGGGCUUUGUGGUUUAUAAGGCAAUGCUCAUUUCACUCUCCUCUUUAAGCUCCAGGUGAUUUAUAGGACCCGGCAUUACUGUUGCAUUUCAAUAGGGUGAUAGUGAUAACAUUUUAUCACCCUGGAUUAUCAAUUAGUCUCCUUUGAGAAAAGGAUGUCCCGGGAUUCAGUACGGGAACAGGAUGGGGAGAGAGAGGAUGCUCCUUGCGAGUAGUGGUGUCCGGCCACCCAGAGAUCAUGGCCUGUCUCCCCGAGGGCCCCGUCCCGAUGCAUCUCUAAGAGGGGAGGCUGCAGGUAUGUGGAGGCAGAACAGGACCUGCGACCUUCCACCCAGGGCCUCCUCUCACCCCUCACCAGGCUGUGUCACAGCUCCUCCAGGGUCUCCUUACGUCCUUCCUACCC